Molecule: ribosomal RNA, 253 nt
Filed under: uncultured organism
Description: partial 16S ribosomal RNA
Rfam family: Archaeal small subunit ribosomal RNA
Source: RNAcentral
UACCCGCGGCCCGAGUGGUGCUCAUUAUUAUUGAGCCUAAAGCGUCCGUAGCUGGCCGGGCAAAUCUCCGGGGAAAUCGGACGGCCCAACUGUCCGAAGACCGGAGACACUGCUCGGCUCGAGAUCGGGAGAGGGAGGAGGUACUCUCGGGGUAGGGGUAAAAUCCUGUAAUCCUGAGGGGACCACCAGUGGCGAAGGCGUCCUCCUAGAACGAAUCUGACAGUGAGGGACGAAGCCCUAGGGCGCAAACGGG